RNAcentral lists this unclassified non-coding RNA (492 nucleotides) under Hevea brasiliensis (rubber tree). Lineage: Eukaryota; Viridiplantae; Streptophyta; Magnoliopsida; Malpighiales; Euphorbiaceae. The record is from RNAcentral.
GAAAAAAGAAGUAGAAGAAACCAUAAUAGUAAUUAAAGGUUACAAUUUAUUUUCCCAACUACGAGGAAAUUAUUAUCAAAGAUAACAAUUAUUAUUAUUAUUGUGGAUUUCCGCUACAAUAUAUAAUAGCCUCAAUAAUUUUCAGCACUUUUAACCCAGGUUUGUAUCAAUUUUGCCAUCUGGUCCGCAUCUAAUCUGACAUUUUUCGUCGCAACGUUGGUACUCUCUCCAUGAGUGACCAACACAGGCGGUGUUACAAGAGUCCUAGCAAUCGACGUCUUGAGCAGCGACGCCGACAGUGUCUGUGUUGGAAGAUAGAAGGAUCAUCAGCACAAUAGCCAUGGUUCCCACUGCAUUCAUUUUCUUCUUCUUCUCCAUCAUUUUUUUUCUGUAUAGUUAGAUGCCUUUUUAAUUUUAUUUUAAAGUGGGUGUGAAUUAAUUAUAAAAGAUGGAGAAGAGAUAUUUAUAGCAUUAAUGCUGCAACGAUUUUCA